AGAGUUUGAUCCUGGCUCAGAACGAACGUUGGCGGCAUGGAUUAGGCAUGCAAGUCGCGGGAAUCCAGCAAUGGGGAACCGGCGUAAGGGGCAGUAAGGCAUGGGUAUCUACCCAGGGGUUCGGGAUAGCCACCAGAGAUGGUGGGUAAUACCGGAUGACGUCGUGAGACCAAAGGUCCGCCGCCCUUGGAGGAGCCCAUGUGAUAUUAGCUAGUUGGUGAGGUAACGGCUCACCAAGGCGAAGAUGUCUAGCGGGUGUGAGAGCACGACCCGCGCCACUCGCACUGAGACACUGGCGAGACACCUACGGGUGGCUGCAGUCGAGGAUCUUCGGCAAUGGGGGCAACCCUGACCGAGCGAUGCCGCGUGCGCGAUGAAGGCCUUCGGGUUGUAAAGCGCGAAAGUGGGGAGAAAAACCGAAAGGUGUGAUCUAUCCACAGUAAGCUCGGGCUAAGUUCGUGCCAGCAGCCGCGGUAAGACGAACCGAGCGAACGUUGUUCGGAAUCACUGGGCUUAAAGGGCGCGUAGGCGGGCUGUCAAGUCUGGGGUGAAAUCCCGCGGCUCAACCGUGGAACUGCCUCAGAUACUGACGGCCUCGAGGGAGAUAGGGGCGAGCGGAACUAAUGGUGGAGCGGUGAAAUGCGUUGAUAUCAUUAGGAACUCCGGUGGCGAAAGCGGCUCGCUGGAUCUCUUCUGACGCUGAGGCGCGAAAGCUAGGGGAGCAAACGGGAUUAGAUACCCCGGUAGUCCUAGCCCUAAACGUUGGGUACUAGGUAGUAGACUAGACAUGGGUUUACUGC
This 800-nucleotide ribosomal RNA is filed under the name uncultured bacterium. Its description in RNAcentral is "bacterial SSU rRNA". It matches the Rfam family "Bacterial small subunit ribosomal RNA", at positions 8 to 846 of the family's 1533-position model. The record is from RNAcentral.